Molecule: ribosomal RNA, 483 nt
Filed under: uncultured bacterium
Lineage: Bacteria
Description: partial 16S ribosomal RNA
Rfam family: Bacterial small subunit ribosomal RNA
Source: RNAcentral
AUUGAACGCUGGCGGCAUGCUUUAUACAUGCAAGUCGAACGGAAGCGCGGGCUUCUUCCUGCCGGCGCGUGGCCAACGGGCGAGUAAUUAACAGGAACGUGACCAGCAGUUGGGGCUAGGCCGGCGACAGGCGGCUUAAUAUAGUAUACGACCUUAGGGUGAACGGGGGGGACCGAAAGUGCUCGACGGAUUUGCGGGGCCGUAGAGGGUUAGCUAGUUGGUGGGGUAAAGGCUUACCAAGGCCACGAUCCGUAGCCGGUCUGAGAGGACGACCCGCCACACUGGAACUGAGACACGGCCCAGACUCCUACGGGAGGCAGCAGUGGGGAAUUUUGGACAAUGGGGGCAACCCUGAUCCAGCCAUGCCGCGUGCGUGAAGAAGGCCUUCGGGUUGUAAACCGCUUUUAUUCGGGAAGAAAACCUCUGGGCUAAUACCCCGAGGUGAUGACGGUACCGGAAGAGUAAGCACCGGCUAACUACGUG